UAUCCAAAGAUUUUGGAAGGAGCACAAAGUGUGUAUGUAGACAUUGAACAAAUCUCAACUUCUCCGCAACCAAUUUCAAUGAGCUUUGUAUAUCCUCUAAGGUAGCAUGAUCAAUGUCAGCGACGUUGCUUUGCAUGCUAGUGACAACAGUCCACACUGCAGCUUGAAAGGAUCUGCUCAACAACUUGUGUCUUAUAGCUUCAAUCUGAA
Molecule: unclassified non-coding RNA, 210 nt
Filed under: Hevea brasiliensis (rubber tree)
Lineage: Eukaryota; Viridiplantae; Streptophyta; Magnoliopsida; Malpighiales; Euphorbiaceae
Source: RNAcentral